Transfer RNA from Colletotrichum incanum, 89 nucleotides. It matches the Rfam family "tRNA". From Rfam's summary of the family: Transfer RNA (tRNA) molecules are approximately 80 nucleotides in length. Lineage: Eukaryota; Fungi; Ascomycota; Sordariomycetes; Glomerellales; Glomerellaceae. The record is from Rfam.
GGCCGGCUGGCCUAAUGGAUAAGGCGUCGGAUUCCUAUGAGGAAUACAAACUCAUCCGAAGAUUCUGGGUUCGAGUCCCAGGUUGGUCG